This 460-nucleotide ribosomal RNA is filed under the name uncultured bacterium. RNAcentral's name for it is "partial 16S ribosomal RNA". It matches the Rfam family "Bacterial small subunit ribosomal RNA", at positions 338 to 795 of the family's 1533-position model. The record is from RNAcentral.
CCUACGGGAGGCAGCAGUGAGGAAUAUUGGUCAAUGGGCGCUAGCCUGAACCAGCCAAGUAGCGUGAAGGAUGACUGCCCUAUGGGUUGUAAACUUCUUUUAUACGGGAAUAACGUGCAGUAUGUAUACUGCUUUGCAUGUACCUUAUGAAUAAGGAUCGGCUAACUCCGUGCCAGCAGCCGCGGUAAUACGGAGGGUCCGAGCGUUAUCCGGAUUUAUUGGGUUUAAAGGGAGCGUAGGCGGGUUGUCAAGUGAGUUGUGAAAGGUUCGGGCUCAACCGUAACAUUGCAGUUGAUACUGGCAGCCUUGAGUACAGGAGAGGUAGGCGGAAUUCGUGGUGGAGCGGUGAAAUGCUUAGAUAUGACGAAGAACUCCGAUUGCGAAGGCAGCCUGCUGGAGCGUAACUGACGCUGAUGCUCGAAAGUGUGGGUAUCGAACAGGAUUAGAUACCCUGGUAGUC